AUAAAUAAGUAUAAAUUACUGCUUUUCUGCCUCUGUAAUAUGAGGUAAGAACUCAGUGUUGCCAUUUUGAUAAAAUGACUGAUAUUUUUUUUCAAAUACACAUUAAUUAGACUUUAAUUCAUAGACUAUGAGUUAUAUUUUUUAGUCUAUUUUAAUUGCAUCAGAUAACUGAUACUUAGCUUCUUUCAGAAUUGUUACACAAGAACAUCUAUCUAAUAAGACUGGGCCAAUGUUGAAACACUUUUAGGUAAUUAUUCAGUUUUUUUUUGCCAUUUUUUCUGGUGCUGCAGGUUUUUGUUCAACCAGUCAAUGAAGAUGUAGCACUGUGAGAUUUAGACUACUGGGGUAAUGGAACCACAGUCACGGUUCUACCAGAUCCAAAUGCUGCCUCUGAUCCUCCGUCCCUGUUCGUCCUCAGUCCCCUGCAGACUCCCGGCUACACAGUGAAGCCAGCAAACCAGUCCAGUCCAAACGUCUGUCUGGUCACAAAUUUCCAUUCAAAGUGGGAAAGUGUGGUUCUGAAUUUGAAAAGGGGUCCGGUUGAUGUGAUCACGACUAAUGCUGUUGUGAAGAAUAACUCCUACUACUUUGCUGCAUUCAGCAACGAAGCCAUCUACUCCUGUGGGGUAAACGGGACCUUUGGCAACAAUGAAGCUGAUGAUGAAUGUGGCAGCAUUUAUCCAGAAAAAGCCAAGCUGAACUUCUACCUGCUGCUGAUGAACGGAGUCCGAGUGGUGUUCACCAAAGCUCUGGCCUUCAGCACCGUCCUCACCAUCAGAGGCCUGAUCUUCUGA
Long non-coding RNA from Poecilia latipinna (sailfin molly), 794 nucleotides. RefSeq lists it as uncharacterized. The record is from RefSeq and is a predicted model, not a curated record. NCBI's taxonomy places the organism in Eukaryota, Metazoa, Chordata, Actinopteri, Cyprinodontiformes, Poeciliidae. The transcript is spliced from 4 exons.